CGGAUUGUGGGCUGCAACCCGCCCACAUGAAGUCGGAGUUGCUAGUAAUCGCGGAUCAGCAUGCCGCGGUGAAUACGUUCCCGGGCCUUGUACACACCGCCCGUCACACCAUGGGAGUUGGGAGUGCCCAAAGCCGGUGAGGCAACCGAAAGGAGCCAGCCGUCUAAGGCAAGACCCAAUGACUGGGGUGAAGUCGUAACAAGGUAGC
This 208-nucleotide ribosomal RNA is filed under the name uncultured bacterium. RNAcentral's name for it is "partial 16S ribosomal RNA". It matches the Rfam family "Bacterial small subunit ribosomal RNA", at positions 1294 to 1500 of the family's 1533-position model. The record is from RNAcentral.